This 247-nucleotide unclassified non-coding RNA is filed under the name Hevea brasiliensis (rubber tree). The record is from RNAcentral. Lineage: Eukaryota; Viridiplantae; Streptophyta; Magnoliopsida; Malpighiales; Euphorbiaceae.
UGGAGAGAAGGAUCAUAGUGGAUCAGUGGGUUAUGUUGAGGACUACCAUGGCAUGAUGAUGAUGGGGAGUCAACAUCAUCAAGGACACGGGUAUGGCACCGGUGUAUACAAUCAUCAUACGGGGGAGAAUGCUGCAGGGGUUGGUACAGGAGGGUCGCGGUUUCCUGACGUUGGGAGGCAAAGGUGAAGCUGUGACAUCCGCGGACUACAAAGAUGUAUCAGGACGCGAUGUAUCAACUGUCAACAG